Molecule: transfer RNA, 72 nt
Filed under: Dipodomys ordii (Ord's kangaroo rat)
Lineage: Eukaryota; Metazoa; Chordata; Mammalia; Rodentia; Heteromyidae
Rfam family: tRNA
About the family: Transfer RNA (tRNA) molecules are approximately 80 nucleotides in length. Their secondary structure includes four short double-helical elements and three loops (D, anti-codon, and T loops).
Source: Rfam by way of RNAcentral
GGAGACAUGGCUCAGAGGUAGAGCACCUGCCUGGCCAGCAUGAGGCCCUAAGUUCAAACCCCAGUACUGCCA